UUACUGANUUACCGCUCUAUAACCCUUUGUGAACAUACCUAACCGUUGCUUCGGCGGGCAGGGGAAGCCUCUCGCGGGCCUCCCCUCCCGGCGCCGGCCCCCACCACGGGGACGGGGCGCCCGCCGGAGGAAACCAAACUCUAUUUACACGACGUCUCUUCUGAGUGGCACAAGCAAAUAAUUAAAACUUUUAACAACGGAUCUCUUGGUUCUGGCAUCGAUGAAGAACGCAGCGAAAUGCGAUAAGUAAUGUGAAUUGCAGAAUUCAGUGAAUCAUCGAAUCUUUGAACGCACAUUGCGCUCGCCAGCAUUCUGGCGAGCAUGCCUGUUCGAGCGUCAUUUCAACCCUCAAGCACCGCUUGGUUUUGGGGCCCCACGGCACACGUGGGCCCUUAAAGGUAGUGGCGGACCCUCCCGGAGCCUCCUUUGCGUAGUAACUAACGUCUCGCACUGGGAUCCGGAGGGACUCUUGCCGUAAAACCCCCAAAUUCUUUACAGGUUGACCUCGGAUCAGGUAGGAAUACCCGCUGAACUUAAGCAUAUCAAUAAGCGGAGGAAAAGAAA
Molecule: ribosomal RNA, 564 nt
Filed under: Colletotrichum acutatum
Lineage: Eukaryota; Fungi; Ascomycota; Sordariomycetes; Glomerellales; Glomerellaceae
Description: eukaryotic LSU rRNA
Rfam family: 5.8S ribosomal RNA (bases 186-339)
Source: RNAcentral